GACCCCGCACAAGCGGCGGAGCAUGCGGCUUAAUUCGAUGAUACCCGUAGAACCUUACCUGGACUUGACAUAUAGGGAAAAGCUAAAGAAAUUUAGUGUGCGUAAGCGCCCUAUACAGGUGGUGCAUGGCUGUCGUCAGCUCGUGUCGUGAGAUGUUGGGUUAAGUCCCGCAACGAGCGCAACCCCCUGUCCUAUGUUGCCAGCAAGUAAUGUUGGGGACUCAUAGGAGACUGCCGUGAUAAACCGGAGGAAGGUGGGACGACGUCAAGUCAUCAUGCCCCUUAUGUCCAGGGCUGCACGCAUGCUACAAUGGCAAGUACAACGAGUCGCAAUACCGCGAGGUGGGAGCAAAUCUUUAAAACCGAUCUC
This 369-nucleotide ribosomal RNA is filed under the name uncultured bacterium. RNAcentral's name for it is "bacterial SSU rRNA". It matches the Rfam family "Bacterial small subunit ribosomal RNA", at positions 920 to 1289 of the family's 1533-position model. The record is from RNAcentral.